CCGUGUUUCUCUUUUAUUUUUCCUUGCGAAUUUCGCGCUGUGUAUAUAUUUUUUUAUUUUUAUGAAAACACCGACCAUCUACGACAAGAUAUGGAGUCUGGAGAGCGGCUGUCCACCCCAUCGUCAGCCCCAUCCUCCCUUCACAUGGCCUCCUCUUCAGGCAGCUCCUCCCCUGCGCCACCCCAGACACCCUCGACCAGAUGCAGCCCAGCCCCUAACCCUGCAGGCAGUUCCCCUCUCACCACUUGUGGUAUGUACACACACCGAAAAACUUCUCUUCAGAGCUAAUUAAAUGUACAAAUAGUUGCUAUUUUAUUUCUAUGUCAGUAUGUUGUAUUAAUCUGGCCAAAU
RNAcentral lists this long non-coding RNA (351 nucleotides) under Scophthalmus maximus (turbot). Its description in RNAcentral is "lncRNA (ENSSMAG00000027067.1)". Lineage: Eukaryota; Metazoa; Chordata; Actinopteri; Pleuronectiformes; Scophthalmidae. The record is from RNAcentral.